RNAcentral lists this ribosomal RNA (465 nucleotides) under uncultured bacterium. RNAcentral describes it as "partial 16S ribosomal RNA". It matches the Rfam family "Bacterial small subunit ribosomal RNA", at positions 28 to 507 of the family's 1533-position model. The record is from RNAcentral.
GACGAACGCUGGCGGCGUGCUUAACACAUGCAAGUCGUACGGUAAGGCCCUUUCGGGGGCUCACGUGUUGCGAACGGGUGAGUAACACGUGAGUAACCUGCCCACUACUUUGUGAUAACGCUUGACAACUGGUGCCAAUACCGGAUAUGUCCUCCCGCCGCAUGGCGGGGGUUGGAAAGCUCCGGGGGUUGUGGAAGGACUCGCGGCCUAUCGGCUUGAUGGUGGGGUAGUGGCCUGCCAGGGCGUCGGCGGGUAGCCGGCCUGAGGGGGUGACCGGCCACAUUGAGACUGAGAUACGGCCCAGACUCCGACGGGAGGCAGCAGUGGGGAAUAUUGCACAAGGGGCGCAAGCCUGAUGCAGCAGCGCCGCGGGCGGGAAGACGGCCUUCGGGUUGUAAACCGCUGUCAGCAGGGACGAAGCUUUUAGUGACGGUACCUGCAGAAGAAGCACCGGCUAACUCCGUG